AUGGGGGGGAUGGGAUGUCAUGAGGUCCUAUGGGGUCCUAUAGAUUCCUCCUGGGGGCACGGGCAUGGGAUUUUAUUGUGUCUUAUGAGGUCCUGGUUUUGUAGGAAUGUGAUCCAGUGGGGUCCUUGAGAGUUCUAGGGGGCGGGGUUAAAAAUCAUCGCGUCCAAACAUGGCCUACCCAUAGCAGCCCAACUCUAACAGCCCUCCGCUCAAGCACGUCCCUGAGCAGCGCAUGCAGACGGUUUUGAAACACAUCUGAGGAAGUGUGACUCAACCACCUCCCUGGGGAGAAAUAUCCUUCAGGCCAUGUGGGGUUCUAUGGGGGAAUGGUACCUUCGUGGAGUCUGUGGGGUCCUUUGAGUAGUAUGGGGGAGGGAUGGGAACAUACGGAGUCCUCUAGGGGAAAGCAUGGGGAAGGUAUGUGUUCCUAUGGGGUCUUCUAGGGUUCUAUGGUGGCCUAUGGUGUGGUGGGAGGGGAGAAUGCGACUGUGUGCUGUGCUAUGUUGUCCUAUGAUGGGUAUGGGGUUCUGUGGGGUCCUAUGGUGUCGUAUGGGAGGGGAUGGGACUCUCUGGGGGUCCUAUAGGGUUCUAUGCAUGGGGGGAUGGGAACCUAUGGAGUCGUACAGGGCCCCAUGUGGAAGGUAUGGGUUCCCAAGAGAUCCUAUGGGGGCUGGGCUCUCGUGAAGUCUAUGGGGUCCUAUAGGCUCCUUUUUUGGGAGGGAGAUAGGGGAUUUGAUGGUGUCUUAUUGGGUCUGAUGGGGUGCAAGUGUUGGGAAGAUGGGAUCCUAUGGGGUCCUCUAGGGUUCCUGGGGGUGGGGUGAUAUGGGGUAGUCUGUGGUAGAAUGGGAUCUUAUAAGGGUCUUUGGGGUCCGGAAAAUAGCCCAUGUUCCUGUCCAAACCUGGAAAGCCCUAGACUCGGACCUCUUUGCCUGGCUCCCAGGUGGCCCAUGUGUCAAAGGUGUUGUAUGCUGCUUUAUUUUCUGGCUCAAAGCUUGCUUCCUGAGGUAUGUCUUGUGAGAAGACUCUAGGAGAUGAGAGGUGGGUGUUGCCGUGUGGCAAUCAGCGUCACUGUGCGGACACUUUUCCAUUGGAAAGCAUUUCUUUGGAGCUGUUUGCCUUGGGCCCAAGAGUGAAGGGAGUGCUCAGGUCCGCUUUGUGGACUGUUUGCUGGCGCAAGACCUGUCCUGUGACCAAAGAAGUCCUGUUUGCUCUGGGAAAUUGCAGGAUGAUACCAUUGUAUCCUGUGAAGACGAGCUACAAGUUGGUGUCUCCAUACUGCCUCUUAUCUGCUGGCAAGGCCGGGGAGAUGGGCACCAAAGGCGUUCCUGCUGGGACCCAAAAGCCACAAGCUGUCACUCCAGACAGAGCUGACUCAACCACUUGGGACUUAGAAAUAAGUCUGUCCCGUCGUCGUCGUCAUCGCUGCGGUCACCGUCCUCAUCUACGGAACAACGCCCAAUGGCCCACCUCUCCUGAGGAUCAACAACUGAAUCAGGAACCACGCCGGACCCAUGGUGGUGUCCAUCUCCGUCUUGCUUCCUAGAGAGACUCCUUGCUCCCAUUUCCUAUCUUUUCUGCUGCCCUUCUUCCCUUCCCCAUCACCCUAGUUUGUACCUAUCAAGACUCCUUGCUUCUAUUUCCUAUCUUUUCCAUCGCUUUCCUUCCCUUGCCCAUUACCCCGAUCCGUACUAGUGUCCGUCCUCCCCUUCCCCAUCUCCCUUCUUGAGAUUUGUAAUAAACUGGUCGGACCACCA
This is a long non-coding RNA of Gallus gallus (chicken), 1754 nucleotides long. RefSeq lists it as uncharacterized. The record is from RefSeq and is a predicted model, not a curated record. Lineage: Eukaryota; Metazoa; Chordata; Aves; Galliformes; Phasianidae. The transcript is spliced from 2 exons.